Molecule: non-coding RNA, 74 nt
Organism: Podarcis lilfordi (Lilford's wall lizard)
Lineage: Eukaryota; Metazoa; Chordata; Lepidosauria; Squamata; Lacertidae
Source: the annotation of a GenBank genome assembly
AGCUGCGAUAGCUCAGUCAGUAGACCAUGAGGCUCUCAAUCUCAGGUUUAUGGGUUUGAGCCCCGCAUUGGCCA